RNAcentral lists this long non-coding RNA (2240 nucleotides) under Homo sapiens (human). Its description in RNAcentral is "long intergenic non-protein coding RNA 1206". Lineage: Eukaryota; Metazoa; Chordata; Mammalia; Primates; Hominidae. The record is from RNAcentral.
AUUCAGACCUUGACAGUUGUAACCGAUAGACUGGGCUGGGGCAACGCUGAUGAAAGGCAAAUUCCUGAGAGAAAAAUCACCCAGAUUAGCAUUUUGGUGUGGAUACAGAAGACGAGAUUAACACAGAUCAAGUAACAUGGAAAUAAAAAAGGAGACAAUGCUGGAUGAUACAGGGGCAGCCAACAAGAGGAGAAAACCCAAGCAUUGGCAAAUGCCUCAUUAUCCAAAGAACACUGGGCCUCAGAGUAUGUCAGCUGGGGUCAGACGGGAACAGGAGUCUGGCUCAACACACAUUUAUUGCACUCCUGUUUCAUGCCAAGAAAUGUACCAAAAUCUGGGACUGUGUAACACAGCAAAGGAAAAGACUCAUCUCCAGGAAGCCCCCUUGUCUAGGAAGAGAAAUUGAAUAUCAGCAUAAGGUGGUGAAAAGCUGUGAAGGAGAUGAGUGCCAGGAGUCCAUGGAGGAAGGAUUCUAGCCUGGACAGGUGAGGAAUGGCUUUCUGGAAGAAGCAGAUGCCCCAGCUGAACUUUAAAAUGCCCAUGUGAAAUGAACUGUCUGUAUCUUCAAUCAGCAAAUGGAGUAGGUGGCCACUGUUUAAUUCUGGAAUGGGGAAGUGUAAAGGUGUGGUGUGUGUGUUUACCCCUACUUAGGGAUUCAAAACAGACAGUAAAGAACAAAAGUCUAGCCCUUUGAGCAUUCUCCAUGGGACAUUUGAGGUCUAGCUGGCCCCAGAGAAAGAGAGACAGAAGCAAGGUCAUAUCCAUUUGAGAAAAUCAAAGUGUCUGCUCCAAUUGAGUCUGGUGUCCUUAUUCCUGGAAUAGCCAUCCCUACUGCUCUGGUGCUGAUUUACCUCCGGCAGUUCAGUGCUUCCUGGAAGGUAGGCUGGGCUUUUUAACAAAGUGACUCCUUACUUGACAUGUUUUACCCAAACACAGAGGCCACUGCACUAUGUGCAAGAAACAACAAAAAAUUAAAUGAGACUCAAUGCCUUCCUUAGGGAUCUAAAACCCCAGUAACACAGAUAAACAGGUAAACAAAUAAUGUGAUGGUGUGAUUCUAUAGCAACAGGAAUAGAGCACUGCAGGGCCACCGAAGGAAAAGGUGAUGACCUGGCUUGGAUUCAGUGAUAAAAAGGGGCUUACCUCCUUUCUCUGUUUCUGCUAAAAGCCAGUGAUUACCCCCUGCUUUUCCCAUGUUGGGCAUAGCUGUAAGUACUUUAGACAUAGCGGCACAUUUAAUCAUCAUGCAACAAUAAGAGGAAGCUGAGGCAGACAGAAGUGCCCAAAGUCACAUACUUGAAGCCAGGACUUGAACCUGGGCUAUCUGGCUCCUGAAUCCAUGGCUUUCACUAAUAAUGACUUACCCUCCAAUGAGGAACAAGCUCCAUUCUGGCCUUUCUUUAGCGAAGGCAACUGCCUGAGCUCAUGGUCUGAUCUGGCUUCUGGGAAAGAGAAAGCAGGGGAAACGUCUAGAGAUGGCAUACUGGGAGAAGAAAUUUCUUGCUGUGGAAUCCUGCCCCCAUCUCCCUCCCCACCAUACACAAUCCCACGUGCAUUUACACCUACACGCCGUGUACACACGAACAUUUUUUCUGCUACUCCCAUGGGCCCCAACUCUGCCUUUUCAUCAAAAUCACCCAGAGUUUUAAAUAAAAUGCAGAUGUUGAGGCUUGUUCCUAAAUUAUAAUCUUGGGCAUCUAAAUUUUUUGAUUAAAAAAAAUUGACAUGCAUGCUUAAAGUAAAAAUUUAGACAAUACAGCAAAGAAUGUGUUUGUACCCCUCCCACCUAGCCCUUAGUUCUUCCGAAAGGCAAAUACUUAACCGUUCCUUGUUAUCCUUCCAGAAAACAAUAUAUGCAUAUAUUCAUCUUUUUUUUCUUCUUCCUCUGUAGGUGAUUGUGGUGAAUAGUCAUGAGAAUCUGGGAACUGGCUCCUGCUCUGUCUAUCUUGGAGAUGCAUCUUUUGUGAGAAGCCAGGGCAAGAAUAGGGAGGCUUAGGCAAUGGGAAGUUUCUGAGUAGAUAAAGCAGAUGGCAGAGCAAAGGGACAGAGCCUGGCGAGAGGCUACUCCCUGUAGCAACCUGCCUAAGAGUGAGAGGAAAGCAAGGCAUGGCUAUGAGCACGUGUAGUCUCAGCUACUUGGGAAGCUGAGGCUGGGGGAUCACUUGAGCCCAGGAGUUCAAGACCAGCCUAGGCAACAUAGUGAGACCAUGUCUCUUUAAAAAAAAAAAAAAAAAGAAAAA